AUGCUUAAAAAAUUUUAAAACUUAGAUACAAUAAUCCAGUUCCCUUAAGUUUUAUGUAAAUUAUUAAAAUGAACAUUGAACAUGUUGAACCAUACUUCGUUUUUUGAAUUUGAAUUUGUUUUUUUUUUAUUUUAUCUGACAACUGGAAACACCUUGAUCACCGAUUAAAAAAAAAACAGGAAUCAGAAAAAAGAAACCAUAUCAGAC
RNAcentral lists this long non-coding RNA (207 nucleotides) under Mytilus galloprovincialis (Mediterranean mussel). The record is from RNAcentral. Lineage: Eukaryota; Metazoa; Mollusca; Bivalvia; Mytilida; Mytilidae.